AUACGAAGGGUGCUAGCGUUGUUCGGAAUCACUGGGCGUAAAGCGCACGUAGGCGGUCCGCACCAGUCAGGCGUGAAAGCCCCAGGCUCAACCUGGGAAUUGCGCUUGAUACUAGCGGGCUAGAGUCCGGGAGAGGGUAGUGGAAUUCCCAGUGUAGAGGUGAAAUUCGUAGAUAUUGGGAAGAACACCAGUGGCGAAGGCGGCUACCUGGACCGGUACUGACGCUGAGGUGCGAAAGCGUGGGGAGC
Molecule: ribosomal RNA, 248 nt
Filed under: uncultured bacterium
Lineage: Bacteria
Description: partial 16S ribosomal RNA
Rfam family: Bacterial small subunit ribosomal RNA
Source: RNAcentral